CACAUCUAUUUGGCAUGAACAGCAUACCUAGGGCUAUGCAGUGGGUUGGGGAUAGAUCUGGGGUUAUUUCUGAGGGGGCCUCUGAGGUCAUAGGGAUGAUGGCUCAGGUUUAUUAAGCACUUUCUAUUUACCUACUACCGUGUAGUGUGGUGAUCUGGUGGGUUUCUGACAGCAGCCCUUGGUUCCUAGUCCUUACCUUUGCUUACUGUGGGCCUGGUGUUGGCCUUGCCAGCCUUCCAAUGGUAACUCCAGCUGCCUGAUUGUGAAGGUAAAUGACAUUAUCAAGCACUUAUUGUAUAUCCACUGCUUCCCAUUCAGUAUCCCAAUAUCCCUAAAAGGUAAGGACUUAUCAAUCCAUCGCACACACACUUGCCUAGCAACCCUUCGUGCCUGCCCACACUCUGGAGUCCCACAUGCCAUUCUUGUCAGCUCAUGCCAGGAUGGGAUGUGUGUGCUCUUCUCCACAGGUCCCCACGAUGGUCCCUGUGGUCCACAUGGGCCCCCUGUUCGGUGACGUGCUCUGAGGGCUCCCAGCUGCGGUACCGGCGCUGUGUGGGCUGGAACGGGCAGUGCUCUGAGAAGGUGGCACUUGGAACCCUGGAGUGGCAGCUCCAGGCCUGUGAGGACCAGCAGUGCUGUCCCGAGAUGGGCGGCUGGUCUGGCUGGGGGCCCUGGGAGCCUUGCUCUGUCACCUGCUCCAAAGGGACCCGGACCCGCAGGCGAGCCUGUAAUCACCCUGCUCCCAAGUGUGGGGGCCACUGCCCAGGACAGGCACAGGAAUCAGAGGCCUGUGACACCCAGCAGUCCUGCCCCACACACGGGGCCUGGGCCGCCUGGGGCCCCUGGACCCCCUGCUCAGGCUCCUGCCACAGUGGAACCCACGAACCUAAGGAGACACGAAGCCGCAAGUGUUCUGCACCUGAGCCCUCCCAGAAGCCUCCUGGGAAGCCCUGCCCGGGGCUAGCCUACGAGCAGCGGAGGUGCACCGGCCUCCCACCCUGCCCAGUGGCUGGGAGCUGGGGGCCUUGGGGCCCUGUGAGCCCCUGCCCUGUGACCUGUGGCCUGGGCCAGACCAUGGAACAACGGACGUGCGAUCACCCUGUGCCCCAGCAUGGGGGCCCCUUCUGUGCUGGCGAUGCUACCCGGACCCACAUCUGCAACACAGCUGUGCCCUGCCCUGUGGAUGGAGAGUGGGACUCGUGGGGGGAGUGGAGCACCUGUGUCCGACGGAACAUGAAGUCCAUCAGCUGUCAAGAAAUCCCGGGCCAGCAGUCACGCUGGAGGACCUGCAAGGGCCGCAAGUUUGACGGACAUCGAUGUGCCGGGCAACAGCAGGAUAUCCGGCACUGCUACAGCAUCCAGCACUGCCCCUUGAAAGGAUCAUGGUCAGAGUGGAGUACCUGGGGGCUGUGCAUACCCCCCUGUGGACCUAAUCCUACCCGUGCCCGCCAGCGCCUCUGCACACCCUUGCUCCCCAAGUACCCGCCCACUGUUUCCAUGGUCGAAGGUCAGGGCGAGAAGAACGUGACCUUCUGGGGGAGACCGCUGCCACGGUGUGAGGAGCUACAAGGGCAGAAGCUGGUGGUGGAGGAGAAGCGACCAUGUCUACACGUGCCUGCUUGCAAAGACCCUGAGGAAGAGAAACUCUAACACUUCUCUCCUCCACUCUGAGCCCCCUGACCUUCCAAACCUCAAUAAACUAGCCUCUUCGAGCUCGUCUACGAUUCCUUAAAGGAGGAAAAACAACCUAUCCCCUUCCCCAAAAGUAGGGUGAUAGCAUCUCAUAGGGCAAAAGGCACAGCACGGGCCAAGACACAGCAGCCUGUUGCGGAAAACAGUAUUUUCCACUGUGGUCGCAGGUUGGCAGGAGUGAAAGCGAGUGUGCAGCCCCAGCCGCUCCCCGCCGCUGCCAUAACCCCAAUGUCUGGACCCUGCGCAGCCCCCUUAGUGCCUCAGGGCCGCCCGGCACGUUCCUCUGCAGAGCUCCUCGUUACGGGUUUCCUGAUUGGCUACUUGUCCUGGCAGGCACUUCUUGAUUGGCCGGCGUGCUUGUUCGUUGUCUCCCCGCCUCCUGGACCUCCCUAGAUUUCCACCAGCCGGAACCUUGGAGGAGCCUCUGCCGGCCGACUCCGACACCGCGUCAGUCGAGGAUGAACGGCAGAGGCGUGGCCGAGGCUGGCACCCUGCCCCCGAGCACCUGCACCCACCCACUCCCGACAGCCCAGCUCCAAUGCCACAAUUACCAGCGACAAAUAGCUCGGCGAGGCGGGGGGCGGGCCGAGGAAGUGCCUGUGUUGCGCUCUGAGCUGAGGCGGGGGCAAAGAAGCUAGAGUCAGUAUCUGCCCGGAGGAGCCCCCAAGACAAAUCCAGACACUUUCCUCUGGUAUUUGUUCAUUCAUUCAACACUUAUUAGCGCCUGCUGUAUACUAAAGCUAAGUCUGAGCAUCUAGGGUGGAGGAGGGCUGGUAGAAAGAGGACAUCUGAGCGAGGGAACAGACUCAGAAGGUAUUCCUUUCGUGUGAACAUCUAUUCAACACUUAACGCCUACUGUAUACUAACAAUAGUGCUGGACAUCACGGAGAAUAGAGAAGAAGAGGAAUCAGAGCGUUACGUGUCUCCGCAGUAAAGGGAACAAAGCCAGACACCAGUGCUUUUAGCAUUUGCUCAUUCAUUUACCACUUACUGAAUGCCGGGCCCCUUGUGAAGAGACGCAUCAUAAGAAUCAUAAUAAUCAUGGUAAUAGCUACUACUU
This 2752-nucleotide small RNA is filed under the name Pongo abelii (Sumatran orangutan). RNAcentral's name for it is "retained intron". The record is from RNAcentral. Lineage: Eukaryota; Metazoa; Chordata; Mammalia; Primates; Hominidae.